GUGUCAGCCGCCGCGGUAAUACGUAGGGUGCAAGCGUUGUCCGGAAUUAUUGGGCGUAAAGAGCGUGUAGGCGGCUUGAUAAGUCUGCUGUGAAAGUCCAGGGCUCAACCCUGGAAAGCCGGUGGAUACUGUCAAGCUAGAGUCCGGAAGGGGCGAGUGGAAUUCCUGGUGUAGCGGUGAAAUGCGCAGAUAUCAGGAGGAACACCAAUGGCGAAGGCAGCUCGCUGGGACGUGACUGACGCUGAGACGCGAAAGCGUGGGGAGCAAACAGGAUUAGAUACCCGCGUAGUCC
RNAcentral lists this ribosomal RNA (292 nucleotides) under uncultured bacterium. RNAcentral describes it as "partial 16S ribosomal RNA". It matches the Rfam family "Bacterial small subunit ribosomal RNA", at positions 505 to 796 of the family's 1533-position model. The record is from RNAcentral.